AAAAAAAAAAAAAAAAAAAUCUUGGCCAUUCUCUUCUCUAAAUUUGUUUCGUCAGUUCUUUCUUGUUACGAAAUAGAGCUAUUAGAUCCUUGGGCAUGAUAGAAGACAUGCAAUCUCAAGAUCUUGUACAAAGGUUCACUAUCAUGAUGCAACAACUAAAGCAAACGCAAGAGGUUUUGUGGAAGGAAGCAGAGCAACACGACAUCAACUAGGUUUGGGAGAAAUUAAAUCCUUACUAGUAUAAAUUUGCGCAAUGUGAAGAUUAGUAGUAAUAUAAAUCAAGGUGAUUCUACAAGAGCAAAGGAAGAUUCAUUAGAGAAUUUGAGGAAUUUGAAACAAGAAUUUAACUUGCAAGAUUAUUAAAAUUCCUUUAAUCAGUUAUACUCAAAAGCAAGAGUUCAAGAAGAGCAAGCUUUGAAUUUUUUUCCUCAAUGGGCUAAUUGAUGAGUUGCAAUUGGCAGUGAGAAUGUUUAAGCCAAAAACAAUUGCAGAUGCUUACAAUCUGACUAAGUUGCAGGAGCUAACUGUAGCAACAAUUCAAAAUAAGUCCAAACCAUUCCUAAACCCACAACCUUUGUUAAGUCCGAAACUGAAGUUUUGAAGUUUGACGAAGUUGGGAAAAUUAGCAACCUUUCACUAGAUUCUACUGAUCAGAAAAUCUCAUAUGAUCAGUGUAACACCCCUGAUUUUUUUAUA
RNAcentral lists this unclassified non-coding RNA (696 nucleotides) under Hevea brasiliensis (rubber tree). Lineage: Eukaryota; Viridiplantae; Streptophyta; Magnoliopsida; Malpighiales; Euphorbiaceae. The record is from RNAcentral.